RNAcentral lists this ribosomal RNA (883 nucleotides) under uncultured Streptococcus sp. Its description in RNAcentral is "bacterial SSU rRNA". It matches the Rfam family "Bacterial small subunit ribosomal RNA". Lineage: Bacteria; Bacillati; Bacillota; Bacilli; Lactobacillales; Streptococcaceae. The record is from RNAcentral.
GACGAACGCUGGCGGCGUGCCUAAUACAUGCAAGUAGAACGCUGAAGGAGGGGCUUGCUCUUCUGGAUGAGUUGCGAACGGGUGAGUAACGCGUAGGUAACCUGCCUGGUAGCGGGGGAUAACUAUUGGAAACGAUAGCUAAUACCGCAUAACAGUAGAUAUUGCAUGAUAUCUGCUUGAAAGGUGCAAAUGCAUCACUACCAGAUGGACCUGCGUUGUAUUAGCUAGUUGGUGAGGUAACGGCUCACCAAGGCGACGAUACAUAGCCGACCUGAGAGGGUGAUCGGCCACACUGGGACUGAGACACGGCCCAGACUCCUACGGGAGGCAGCAGUAGGGAAUCUUCGGCAAUGGACGGAAGUCUGACCGAGCAACGCCGCGUGAGUGAAGAAGGUUUUCGGAUCGUAAAGCUCUGUUGUAAGAGAAGAACGAGUGUGAGAGUGGAAAGUUCACACUGUGACGGUAUCUUACCAGAAAGGGACGGCUAACUACGUGCCAGCAGCCGCGGUAAUACGUAGGUCCCGAGCGUUGUCCGGAUUUAUUGGGCGUAAAGCGAGCGCAGGCGGUUAGAUAAGUCUGAAGUUAAAGGCUGUGGCUUAACCAUAGUACGCUUUGGAAACUGUUUAACUUGAGUGCAAGAGGGGAGAGUGGAAUUCCAUGUGUAGCGGUGAAAUGCGUAGAUAUAUGGAGGAAACACCGGUGGCGAAAGCGGCUCUCUGGCUUGUAACUGACGCUGAGGCUCGAAAGCGUGGGGAGCAAACACGAUUACAUACCCUGGUAGUCCCAAGGGGAAAUCCACAGUGGAUAUCAAGCUUAUCCGCUCCCCUCCGAGCUCAAAAAGAAGAACCUGUAUUAGUUUUUUUUCCUUUACGGGGGUAAAUAA